GACGAACGCUGGCGGCGUGCCUAAUACAUGCAAGUAGAACGCUGAAGGAGGAGCUUGCUUCUCUGGAUGAGUUGCGAACGGGUGAGUAACGCGUAGGCAACCUGCCUGGUAGCGGGGGAUAACUAUUGGAAACGAUAGCUAAUACCGCAUAAUAUUGACUAUUGCAUGAUAGUCAGUUGAAAGGUGCAACUGCACCACUACCAGAUGGACCUGCGUUGUAUUAGCUAGUUGGUGGGGUAACGGCUCACCAAGGCGACGAUACAUAGCCGACCUGAGAGGGUGAUCGGCCACACUGGGACUGAGACACGGCCCAGACUCCUACGGGAGGCAGCAGUAGGGAAUCUUCGGCAAUGGACGGAAGUCUGACCGAGCAACGCCGCGUGAGUGAAGAAGGUUUUCGGAUCGUAAAGCUCUGUUGUAAGAGAAGAACGAGUGUGAGAGUGGAAAGCUCACACUGUGACGGUAUCUUACCAGAAAGGGACGGCUAACUACGUG
Molecule: ribosomal RNA, 495 nt
Filed under: uncultured bacterium
Lineage: Bacteria
Description: partial 16S ribosomal RNA
Rfam family: Bacterial small subunit ribosomal RNA
Source: RNAcentral